GGGGGUGUUGCUCAGUGGUAGAGCACAUGCUUAAUGAGCAGGAGAUCCUGGGUUCAAUCUCCAGUACCUCCA
Non-coding RNA from Vicugna pacos (alpaca), 72 nucleotides. NCBI's taxonomy places the organism in Eukaryota, Metazoa, Chordata, Mammalia, Artiodactyla, Camelidae. The record is from the annotation of a RefSeq genome assembly.